Molecule: ribosomal RNA, 69 nt
Filed under: uncultured eukaryote
Lineage: Eukaryota
Description: partial small subunit ribosomal RNA
Source: RNAcentral
CCACGGUAUGAUUUAUGAUUGGGGUGAAGUCGUAACAAGGUAUUCGUAGGUGAACCUGCAGAAGGAUCA